RNAcentral lists this ribosomal RNA (88 nucleotides) under Diaphorina citri (Asian citrus psyllid). The record is from RNAcentral. Lineage: Eukaryota; Metazoa; Arthropoda; Insecta; Hemiptera; Psyllidae.
UGGCGUGGCAAUAGCACUUUGAAUCCGCCAGUUCUCAUUGGAUACCUGUAGUCAAGCAACGCCGCGCGUGGUUGGUAUCCAGAUGGGU